Molecule: ribosomal RNA, 984 nt
Filed under: Salmonella enterica subsp. enterica serovar Anatum
Lineage: Bacteria; Pseudomonadati; Pseudomonadota; Gammaproteobacteria; Enterobacterales; Enterobacteriaceae
Description: partial 23S ribosomal RNA
Rfam family: Bacterial large subunit ribosomal RNA
Source: RNAcentral
GCCGGAGGGAAACCGAGUCUUAAUUGGGCGUUAAGUUGCAGGGUAUAGACCCGAAACCCGGUGAUCUAGCCAUGGGCAGGUUGAAGGUUGGGUAACACUAACUGGAGGACCGAACCGACUAAUGUUGAAAAAUUAGCGGAUGACCUGUGGCUGGGGGUGAAAGGCCAAUCAAACCGGGAGAUAGCUGGUUCUCCCCGAAAGCUAUUUAGGUAGCGCCUCGUGAAUUCAUCUCCGGGGGUAGAGCACUGUUUCGGCUAGGGGGCCAUCCCGGCUUACCAACCCGAUGCAAACUGCGAAUACCGGAGAAUGUUAUCACGGGAGACACACGGCGGGUGCUAACGUCCGUCGUGAAGAGGGAAACAACCCAGACCGCCAGCUAAGGUCCCAAAGUCAUGGUUAAGUGGGAAACGAUGUGGGAAGGCCCAGACAGCCAGGAUGUUGGCUUAGAAGCAGCCAUCAUUUAAAGAAAGCGUAAUAGCUCACUGGUCGAGUCGGCCUGCGCGGAAGAUGUAACGGGGCUAAACCAUGCACCGAAGCUGCGGCAGCGAACGUAUCACUUAAAGCGAUUCAGCGGGUUACGAUUGACGGAGCGAAGCGACGUCAAAGCGUAUACAAAGUCGAGUCGGUUUAAGGAUACGUUCGUUGGGUAGGGGAGCGUUCUGUAAGCCUGUGAAGGUGGCCUGUGAGGGUUGCUGGAGGUAUCAGAAGUGCGAAUGCUGACAUAAGUAACGAUAAAGCGGGUGAAAAGCCCGCUCGCCGGAAGACCAAGGGUUCCUGUCCAACGUUAAUCGGGGCAGGGUGAGUCGACCCCUAAGGCGAGGCCGAAAGGCGUAGUCGAUGGGAAACGGGUUAAUAUUCCCGUACUUGGUGUUACUGCGAAGGGGGGACGGAGAAGGCUAUGUUGGCCGGGCGACGGUUGUCCCGGUUUAAGCGUGUAGGUGUGUGUUCCAGGUAAAUCCGGUUCACUUUAACACUGAGGCGUGA